CUAGGAGAGGCGCCGCCCAGUGGCUCGCCAGCCCGUGCAGUGCGUGGGCCGCCAGCUUUAAGCAAGCUUCCUCCUGCCUCCACUGAAGCCAGCCAAGGCACGGAAGGAAAGUUCAGGGAAUGGUUUUUCUGCUGCCCAAAAGCAUUUGUCCUAAAGAAGACUCAACCUACAGUAAAUGCUAACUAAAAAGAAAAAGCCUGAUGUUCUAUCAUUGAGGUGAGGUUAUGCUUGGGUCUUUUCAGAAAAUGAACAAGUCCCAGAUGGCUCUUGAUCUGGUACAUCCACCCAGGACAUCCAGAGACCACCAGACAAAUGAAACAUCCACCCAGGACAUCCAGAGACCACCAGACAAAUGAAACAUCCACCUAGGACAUCCAGAGACCACCAGACAAAUGAAACAUCCAACCAGGACAUCCAGAGACCACUAGACAAUGAAACAUCCUGCCAGGACAUCCAGAGACCACCAGACAAAUGAAACAUCUGAGCAGGACAUCCAGAGACCACCAGACGAAUGAAAACAUCUGAAGGCAGAUGACAAACCCAUCAAGAGGAGAUGUCCCAAGGGGGAGAGUAAGCUGAUAAAUUGGGGAGACAGCAGGACUUUAACUCCUCAAGCUGAGACUUUGGGGAAACAACAAGGACUAACCCAAAAAUGAUGCUAUUAUGUUUAAUGACUGUAUUACAAGUUAAUUCUUGUCAAUGAAGAGUCCAAAUGCCUUUCGUCAGGGGGGAUAAGACACACUUGUGAUAGGCGACAUUUGAUAUUGUUUUGCCAUACUAAGGUUUAUAAAGGUUUAUGUGGAAUAGACUGUAUUACACCCAUUUUGCUCACAGCAAAAAUAUUAACAGAAAUUAAGACAUGGAUGAAUGGAGGACGGUGUUUGCCUUUCCUCAGUCUGUUAUUAGCUCUUCUUAUAAUUCUCUCAUGCUUGCCUGUGCUAAUUAGACUAGUUAUAAAGGCAAUGCAUUCAGCCUUGGCCUCAUUUUUUCUUUAAAAAAAUUAGAAGGGAGGAGAUGUCGGGGGCACGGAAGUCCUUGUACUCACAGAGAAGCGCUAAGAGAACCAGGAAUGUUAAUCACACAGAGGUGUCUUCUCAAUGAAGAAGAUAAAAUCAAACACCCGCAUUCCAUCCAGAAAGCUGAGAGUGGAGGUUGUUAAUGACCUGGUGACCUUUUUGCUGUCUGAAGGGACAGGCCUCACCCUAAUUACCCAGAAUAAUUAUCCCACACUCUUCCCUCCCUAAACCAUUACCCAUCUUUAGGGUAGAUAUCACAAGUACUUUAUGGCCUGCUGCCCUCUAUGUUAUUGGUCAGGGACCACACUGGAGUCUAGGUCCUUUAGCUAUAGAACCCACCCUCAUGGUCAUAUGUACUUUGUAAAAUAGUUUCUAUGUAGUCACACCUUAAGCUUUAUUGUGCACCUGGAAUUGGACUGAUUGUUGCCUGAAAACAUUUUCCCAAAUUGUACUGUGUUUUAAAUAUGCUGACAAUUAACUGCCUGGCAUUAGACUCCCAAUGUCUGAUCCAGGUUGAUGAAGUCAAUUUGCACCAAGUUUUCAUUCUUAUCUCUUCAUGUGGUUGGUUCACUUUGCUGUAUGACACCUGCAGGGACCCCCAAACCCAGGUACAUGUGUCUGUGUGGGUAUACGUGCACAUGUGUGCACGUGUGUAGAAGCCUAAGUCUGAAGUCAAAUCUGUUUCUGCAACUGAUCUCUACCUUUUAUUUUUUGAGGCAGGGUCUCUCCCUAAAUACCAACCUCACUGAUUGCUAGUCUGGGUACCAGCCGAUCUGAAAAUCCAAGACUAAGACUUAUAAGUGCCGACACUAGAGACAACCUGACUGCUCUCCACUCUGAAUGGUAUUCUUGCUGCUGAAAUAGAACUUCUUUUCUUCCAGGAGCCCAAGAGCUGAGACUGCUUGAACUCAGAGGGAAUUUGAAAUUAAGCAUAGCUCCCUAGUCGCACCUGGAUGGAUGCAGAAAAAGACUUUGAAGCCAGGUUGCUUGUUCAUGCCUGCAAUCCCAGCACUUGAGAGACUAAGGCAGGAGGAUUGCCUCAAGUGCAAGGCCAGUCUGGGCUACACAGAGUUCCAGGGCAGCCUUGGCUACAAUGGGAUACCUGUCUCAAAACCAACCAAAUAAACAGAGCCUUUCAGAUCUCUCCAUGUCCUAAGGAGACAUGAGGCUAUUUAGAACAGUGCUGGGAUCCUGGAGAUGGGAAAAGUGCUCCGUGGAAAGAAAGGACGUUCCAUUCCCUGCAAACCAUUUCACUCAGAGCCGGCAGGAUUACUUGGCAGGUAAAGAUGGCUGCUGCCAAGCUUGAUGACCUAAAUUCAAUCCCCAGGACCCACACUG
Molecule: non-coding RNA, 2354 nt
Organism: Peromyscus maniculatus bairdii (prairie deer mouse)
Lineage: Eukaryota; Metazoa; Chordata; Mammalia; Rodentia; Cricetidae
Source: RefSeq, a predicted model, not a curated record